UACGUAGGGUGCGAGCGUUGUCCGGAAUUACUGGGCGUAAAGAGCUCGUAGGUGGUUUGUCGCGUUGUUCGUGAAAUCUCACGGCUUAACUCUGGGCGUGCGGUCGAUACGGGCAUCACCAGAGUUCGGCAGGGGAGACUGGAAUUCCUGGUGUAGCGGUGAAAUGCGCAGAUAUCAGGAGGAACACCGGUGGCGAAGGCGGGUCUCUGGGCCGAUACUGACGCUGAGGAGCGAAAGCAUGGGUAGCGAACAGG
RNAcentral lists this ribosomal RNA (254 nucleotides) under uncultured bacterium. RNAcentral describes it as "partial 16S ribosomal RNA". It matches the Rfam family "Bacterial small subunit ribosomal RNA", at positions 524 to 776 of the family's 1533-position model. The record is from RNAcentral.